Molecule: ribosomal RNA, 301 nt
Filed under: uncultured bacterium
Lineage: Bacteria
Description: partial 16S ribosomal RNA
Rfam family: Bacterial small subunit ribosomal RNA
Source: RNAcentral
CAGUCGCCGCGGGAAUACGGAGGGUGCAAGCGUUAAUCGGAAUUACUGGGCGUAAAGCGCACGCAGGCGGUCUGUCAAGUCGGAUGUGAAAUCCCCGGGCUCAACCUGGGAACUGCAUUCGAAACUGGCAGGCUAGAGUCUUGUAGAGGGGGGUAGAAUUCCAGGUGUAGCGGUGAAAUGCGUAGAGAUCUGGAGGAAUACCGGUGGCGAAGGCGGCCCCCUGGACAAAGACUGACGCUCAGGUGCGAAAGCGUGGGGAGCAAACAGGAUUAGAUACCCCGGUAGUCCCUGUCUCUUAUAA